GCCGCACUUGGCUGCAAAUGGAUAGCGAGGGGACUCUCUCUCUCUCCUUUCACCUCCCCGGUCUCUCGCAAAUGCUCGCAUAGAAUCGGAGUUACAGCUGGAUGUGGAAAAAAUAACUGAGUUGUUUGGUGGUGGAGCUACAACAGAGGGCAGCUACCCACCGGUGUGUGACAGAAAGGACAUGCCGCCAACGAGACAUAUGAGGCCGGGCAGGCGAUUGCUAACGCGGUGGUCAAUCAUGGAUCAGGGAAAGCGAAGGCAGGAGCGUGAGGUGAACUGAAUUUCAGGUAAGAAGUUAUGAACUGCACUCUAUUUGGGUCAGAUAUAAACAGAGUUUAGGUGUAGUUUAUUUAGCAGCAGUUCUCUUAUGUGUUGCUGAUAGCCGGCUAGCUAGCUAGCGCCGCUAGCAACCCUUCGUGAAAAAGCACCCAGUCUUGGCUUAUAUUGAAGCGGGUGAAACUCGUGUCAGCACCCGGUCGCUCUCUAUUUGGGUCAGAUAUAAACCGAGUUUAGGUGUAGUUUAUUUAGCAGCAGUUCUCUUAUGUGUUGCUGAUAGCCGGCUAGCUAGCUAGCGCCGCUAGCAUAGUUAGCUCGCGCCGCUAGCAACCCUUCGUGAAAAAGCACCCAGUCUUGGCUUAUAUUGAAGCGGGUGAAACUCGUGUCAGCAACCGGUCGCUCUCUAUUUGGGUCAGAUAUAAACCGAGUUUAG
Molecule: long non-coding RNA, 709 nt
Organism: Oreochromis aureus
Lineage: Eukaryota; Metazoa; Chordata; Actinopteri; Cichliformes; Cichlidae
Source: Ensembl